CCGGGACCCAGAGGAAACCAGAUGCAGAGGAAGGGUCUUGCUCUCUGCUUGCUUCCCCACUCAACGCAGGACCACUUAGACCAUCUCGGAGACUAGACAGGCCUGCUAGCCACUAGCAGCGGAGCCCUGCGCUGGGUUUCUCUCCAACCGGACGAUGCACACACAUCCCCUUGGGGAAUCUGAGGCAGGAUUCUGAUCCAGCGGGGAAAGGGGAGAACUCAUAUUGCCGAGAUCAGAGCUGACCGGAACCGCUGAAGUGCUCAGUUAUCAAUUCUGACUCCUCGUGUCAUGGAUUCAAGGGAUAUAACCGCCUGAUCACCUUGAGAAGAAAAAGAAGGAUGCCCCAUGCCAUCUGUCACCCAG
Molecule: long non-coding RNA, 363 nt
Organism: Cervus elaphus (red deer)
Lineage: Eukaryota; Metazoa; Chordata; Mammalia; Artiodactyla; Cervidae
Exons: 3
Source: RefSeq, a predicted model, not a curated record